AGCUUGGGGUGAGGAGGUGGUUGGAGGGAGGGGGACACACGCCGGUGCCAUGGGGUGGGGUGGUGGUGGACGGUGGUCGUGGCGGCGGCAGGUGGUGGACGGACCGUCGGCUGCUGGUGCUCCUACCGGGGCUGGUGGCGCCGCGGGGUGGGGUGGCGGAGGAGAGUGAGGGACGGCCGCGCGGAGGGAAGGGGUUGGGUGUCGCGGUGCGGCGGUGUGGAGGUAGGUUUGGGCUGCAGGCGGCCGGAGGAGAGGAACUGGGAGGAGCUUCAACCAUCGGGGCCGAGCGCCACGCCCGAUGGGAAGGAGGAUGUUGCGGCCACUGUAGGUCCCCGCGUCGGUGGGGGUCGGUGGUGCGGUGGCGGGGGCCACGCCGAAGUUGGCGGCUUAGGCCGGCGGUAGCCGGGGACCGCGCCGGAUUAGAGACGAAGGAGGAGGACGCGACCGUGGACCGGCCGGGCAGGAGGAGAUGAGGUUGUGCGUGUUCCAGGGGGGCAGGAAACUUUUUAACCACAGCGCGGCGGUCGGGAGGUCUAGGUGACGGAGGUCGUAGUGGCGACCGGCGGCCUCGGGGCGCCCUACAUACCGCACGUCAAGCCGGGCGCUCCCGCUCGUCACGUGAACCUCCUCCUUCACGUGAUAUGGGCGCUGGAACUGCUCGCCCUAGGCGCUCGGCCGAUCGAUGUAUGGGCAGGGUUGGAGGUAAUGGGGUGGGCGUCGCCGCUCGUCUCCCCCUCCCGGGGGUGGUGUGCGCGUCAACGAGGUGGGGGUAGCCGUUUCUACCCACCGUGUACGCCCGCACGUCGUGCCGGUUGUUGCCGCACGUCAUAUCGGUUGCUGCCGCACGUCAUGCCGGUUGCUGCCGCACGUCAUGCCGGUUGCUGCCACUGAUAAGUACUCGUGGUGCGGGGCGACUGGAGGUAACAGAAAAAGGGACACGUCGAGCGCCGUGGCGCGGAGCACAUCAUCUGACGAGGAGACGCACACCAAUUAGGCUCGCACUAGAGGUGAAGGUGACUAAACAUCGUGUACGUAAGUCAAGUACGAUCCAUGUGACCAAGUACCUCAAGCGGGCACAUGAGGGUGAUAGUUCGUCGCUCGUCGUUAAGCAAAACGCCGCGACAGCAGAUCAAUGAGCUACAUCGCUCGUUGAAAUCACCGUCGCACGAACGUCCAACGUCAAACCAGGCGUAGCGACGCACACGCCACGCGGUAGUAACAACAACGUCGAGUCGUCGAGUGGGGACACGUCAAACCGG
This 1259-nucleotide ribosomal RNA is filed under the name Triticum aestivum (bread wheat). Its description in RNAcentral is "partial small subunit ribosomal RNA". Lineage: Eukaryota; Viridiplantae; Streptophyta; Magnoliopsida; Poales; Poaceae. The record is from RNAcentral.